This 281-nucleotide unclassified non-coding RNA is filed under the name fungal sp. Its description in RNAcentral is "partial internal transcribed spacer region". The stretch from base 1 to 46 matches the Rfam family "Eukaryotic small subunit ribosomal RNA", at positions 1786 to 1831 of the family's 1831-position model. The record is from RNAcentral. Lineage: Eukaryota; Fungi.
AAGUCGUAACAAGGUUUCCGUAGGUGAACCUGCGGAAGGAUCAUUACCAAACGUGACACCCAGUGUCGCCAACAGUACCCGAGCAGACCUGGUGCGGUUCCGCGCCAAGUCAGGGCCGGGCUGCUCACCGCAGCCGGGCCAGCGCCGUCCCCUGCUCCUCGCGGAGCCGGAGCUCAGUCCCCCGUGGACGAAAGGACGGACCCGGUGCUUUCGCAUCAAACCCUGUGCUUGAAAAGGAACACUAACAGCAGUACAACUGCAAACGGUGGAUCACUCGGCUC